Molecule: ribosomal RNA, 1383 nt
Filed under: uncultured bacterium
Lineage: Bacteria
Description: 16S ribosomal RNA
Rfam family: Bacterial small subunit ribosomal RNA
Source: RNAcentral
UUAGAGUUUGAUCCUGGCUCAAGAUGACCUUUGGCGGCGUGCUUAACACAUGCAAGUCGAACGGGAAUUAUUUUAUUGAAACUUCGGUCGAUUUAAUUUAAUUCUAGUGGCGGACGGGUGAGUAACGCGUGGGUAACCUGCCUUAUACAGGGGGAUAACAGUCAGAAAUGGCUGCUAAUACCGCAUAAGCGCACAGAGCUGCAUGGCUCAGUGUGAAAAACUCCGGUGGUAUAAGAUGGACCCGCGUUGGAUUAGCUAGUUGGUGGGGUAACGGCCCACCAAGGCGACGAUCCAUAGCCGGCCUGAGAGGGUGAACGGCCACAUUGGGACUGAGACACGGCCCACACUCCUACGGGAGGCAGCAGUGGGGAAUAUUGCACAAUGGGGGAAACCCUGAUGCACCGACGCCGCGUGAAAGAAGAAGUAUCUCGGUAUGUAAACUUCUAUCAGCAGGGAAGAUAGUGACGGUACCUGACUAAGAAGCCCCGGCUAACUACGUGCCAGCAGCCGCGGUAAUACGUAGGGGGCAAGCGUUAUCCGGAUUUACUGGGUGUAAAGGGAGCGUAGACGGUGUGGCAAGUCUGAUGUGAAAGGCAUGGGCUCAACCUGUGGACUGCAUUGGAAACUGUCAUACUUGAGUGCCGGAGGGGUAAGCGGAAUUCCUAGUGUAGCGGUGAAAUGCAUAUAUAUAAAGAGGAACACCAGUGGGCGAGGGCGGCUUACUGGACGGUAACUGACGUUGAGGCUCGAAAGCGGGGGGGACCAAACAAGAAUUAAAAUACCCUGGUAGUCCCCCGCCGUAAACGAUGAAUACUAGGUGUCGGGUGGCAAAGCCAUUCGGUGCCGUCGCAAACGCAGUAAGUAUUCCACCUGGGGAGUACGUUCGCAAGAAUGAAACUCAAAGGAAUUGACGGGGACCCGCACAAGCGGUGGAGCAUGUAGUUUAAUUCGAAGCAACGCGAAGAACCUUACCAAAUCUUGACAUCCCUCUGACCGGUCUUUAAUCGGACCUUCUCUUCGGAGCAGAGGUGACAGGUGGUGCAUGGUUGUCGUCAGCUCGUGUCGUGAGAUGUUGGGUUAAGUCCCGCAACGAGCGCAACCCCUAUCCUCAGUAGCCAGCAUUUAAGGUGGGCACUCUGGGGAGACUGCCAGGGAUAACCUGGAGGAAGGCGGGGAUGACGUCAAAUCAUCAUGCCCCUUAUGAUUUGGGCUACACACGUGCUACAAUGGCGUAAACAAAGGGAAGCGAGAUCGUGAGAUGGAGCAAAUCCCAAAAAUAACGUCCCAGUUCGGACUGUAGUCUGCAACCCGACUACACGAAGCUGGAAUCGCUAGUAAUCGCGGAUCAGAAUGCCGCGGUGAAUACGUUCCCGGGUCUUGCAC